GAGGAAUAUUGGGCAAUGGGGGAAACCCUGACCCAGCAACGCCGCGUGAAGGAAGAAGGCCUUCGGGUUGUAAACUUCUGUGACAGGGGACGAAAGCAAUGACGGUACCCUGGGAGGAAGCCACGGCAAACUACGUGCCAGCAGCCGCGGUAAUACGUAGGUGGCGAGCGUUGUCCGGAAUCACUGGGCGUAAAGGGCGCGUAGGCGGUUUUGCAAGUCACAUGUGAAAGACCAGGGCUCAACUUUGGGAGGUCAUGUGAAACUGUGAGACUUGAGUGCAGUAGAGGUAAGCGGAAUUCCUGGUGUAGCGGUAAAAUGCGUAGAGAUCAGGAGGAACACCGGUGGCGAAGGCGGCUUACUGGGCUGCAACUGACGCUGAGGCGCGAAAGCGUGGGGAGCAAAC
This 403-nucleotide ribosomal RNA is filed under the name uncultured bacterium. RNAcentral describes it as "bacterial SSU rRNA". It matches the Rfam family "Bacterial small subunit ribosomal RNA", at positions 356 to 773 of the family's 1533-position model. The record is from RNAcentral.